RNAcentral lists this non-coding RNA (30 nucleotides) under Mus musculus (house mouse). The record is from RNAcentral. Lineage: Eukaryota; Metazoa; Chordata; Mammalia; Rodentia; Muridae.
UCCUAUUGAUGUCUGACUAGGCCGUCCUGU